This 48-nucleotide ribosomal RNA is filed under the name Trypethelium eluteriae. RNAcentral describes it as "partial 28S rRNA". The record is from RNAcentral. Lineage: Eukaryota; Fungi; Ascomycota; Dothideomycetes; Trypetheliales; Trypetheliaceae.
GGAUCAGGUAGGAAUACCCGCUGAACUUAAGCAUAUCAAACGGAGGGA